This 563-nucleotide ribosomal RNA is filed under the name Podospora prethopodalis. RNAcentral describes it as "eukaryotic LSU rRNA". The stretch from base 194 to 347 matches the Rfam family "5.8S ribosomal RNA". The record is from RNAcentral. Lineage: Eukaryota; Fungi; Ascomycota; Sordariomycetes; Sordariales; Podosporaceae.
GCGGAGGGAUCAUUACUGAGUUCCACUGGACUCCCACCCUGUGUGAUUCGACUCGCGAACCACUUUGUUGCCUCGGCAGAAAACAGUGGUUGAGACCUGCCCCCUAGCGGUGCGGGCUCCCAUCAGCUGCCGAGCGAGCAAAAACUCUUCUUGUAAUUGUUGGCAUCUCUGAGUAGCUUUUGCAAUAAGUCAAAACUUUCAACAACGGAUCUCUUGGUUCUGGCAUCGAUGAAGAACGCAGCGAAAUGCGAUAAGUAAUGUGAAUUGCAGAAUUCAGUGAAUCAUCGAAUCUUUGAACGCACAUUGCGCCCGCCAGUAUUCUGGCGGGCAUGCCUGCCCGAGCGUCAUUUCAACCCUUCAAGCCCAGCUUGUGUUGGAGCCCUGCGGUCCCCCCUCGCAGGCUUCUAAAAGCAGUGGCGGGCUCGCCAUCACACUGAGUGCAGUAGUGUUCUCGCUCCUGUGUGUUGGUGGGUUCCAGCCGUAAAGCCCCCUACAUUAUACAAGGUUGACCUCGGAUCAGGUAGGAAUACCCGCUGAACUUAAGCAUAUCAAUAAGCGGAGGA